This 561-nucleotide ribosomal RNA is filed under the name Bacillus sp. (in: firmicutes). RNAcentral's name for it is "bacterial SSU rRNA". It matches the Rfam family "Bacterial small subunit ribosomal RNA", at positions 69 to 611 of the family's 1533-position model. Lineage: Bacteria; Bacillati; Bacillota; Bacilli; Caryophanales; Bacillaceae. The record is from RNAcentral.
AUGGAUUAAGAGCUUGCUCUUAUGAAGUUAGCGGCGGACGGGUGAGUAACACGUGGGUAACCUACCCAUAAGACUGGGAUAACUCCGGGAAACCGGGGCUAAUACCGGAUAAUAUUUUGAACUGCAUAGUUCGAAAUUGAAAGGCGGCUUCGGCUGUCACUUAUGGAUGGACCCGCGUCGCAUUAGCUAGUUGGUGAGGUAACGGCUCACCAAGGCGACGAUGCGUAGCCGACCUGAGAGGGUGAUCGGCCACACUGGGACUGAGACACGGCCCAGACUCCUACGGGAGGCAGCAGUAGGGAAUCUUCCGCAAUGGACGAAAGUCUGACGGAGCAACGCCGCGUGAGUGAUGAAGGCUUUCGGGUCGUAAAACUCUGUUGUUAGGGAAGAACAAGUGCUAGUUGAAUAAGCUGGCACCUUGACGGUACCUAACCAGAAAGCCACGGCUAACUACGUGCCAGCAGCCGCGGUAAUACGUAGGUGGCAAGCGUUAUCCGGAAUUAUUGGGCGUAAAGCGCGCGCAGGUGGUUUCUUAAGUCUGAUGUGAAAGCCCACGGCUCA